CCUACGGGAGACAGCAGUGAGGAAUAUUGGUCAAUGGACGAGAGUCUGAACCAGCCAAGUAGCGUGAAGGAUGACUGCCCUAUGGGUUGUAAACUUCUUUUAUAUGGGAAUAAAAUGUUCCACGUGUGGGAUUUUGUAUGUACCAUAUGAAUAAGGAUCGGCUAACUCCGUGCCAGCAGCCGCGGUAAUACGGAGGAUCCGAGCGUUAUCCGGAUUUAUUGGGUUUAAAGGGAGCGUAGGUGGAUUGUUAAGUCAGUUGUGAAAGUUUGCGGCUCAACCGUAAAAUUGCAGUUGAAACUGGCAGUCUUGAGUACAGUAGAGGUGGGCGGAAUUCGUGGUGUAGCGGUGAAAUGCUUAGAUAUCACGAAGAACUCCGAUUGCGAAGGCAGUUCACUGGACUGCAACUGACACUGAGGCUCGAAAGCGUGGGUAUCAAACAGGAUUAGAUACCCGAGUAGUC
RNAcentral lists this ribosomal RNA (460 nucleotides) under uncultured bacterium. RNAcentral describes it as "partial 16S ribosomal RNA". It matches the Rfam family "Bacterial small subunit ribosomal RNA", at positions 338 to 795 of the family's 1533-position model. The record is from RNAcentral.